GACGAACGCUGGCGGCGUGCUUAAUACAUGCAAGUCGAACGGAAAGGCCCUGCUUUUGUGGGGUGCUCGAGUGGCGAACGGGCGAGUAACACGUGAGUAACCUGCCCUUGACUUUGGGAUAACUUCAGGAAACUGGGGCUAAUACCGGAUAGGAGCUCCUGCUGCAUGGUGGGGGUUGGAAAGUUUCGGCGGUUGGGGAUGGACUCGCGGCUUAUCAGCUUGUUGGUGGGGUAGUGGCUUACCAAGGCUUUGACGGGUAGCCGGCCUGAGAGGGUGACCGGCCACAUUGGGACUGAGAUACGGCCCAGACUCCUACGGGAGGCAGCAGUGGGGAAUAUUGCACAAUGGGCGGAAGCCUGAUGCAGCAACGCCGCGUGCGGGAUGACGGCCUUCGGGUUGUAAACCGCUUUCGCCUGUGACGAAGCGUGAGUGACGGUAAUGGGUAAAGAAGCACCGGCUAACUACGUG
RNAcentral lists this ribosomal RNA (468 nucleotides) under uncultured bacterium. RNAcentral's name for it is "partial 16S ribosomal RNA". It matches the Rfam family "Bacterial small subunit ribosomal RNA", at positions 28 to 507 of the family's 1533-position model. The record is from RNAcentral.